CCCAGUAAAUAGCCCAAAUAUAAAUACUGAAGAUUUCCAAUUACAAAGAAGGAAAACGAUUGGGGAAUGGCGAGUACGGUGGUGCUACAGGGAAUCCAAAUCCCGACGUCGGCGGUGUUGAUGCCGGAGCGAAAAUAUGGCGUUUCUCCGGUGGGAAAAGUUGGAUCCGAAUCCGGAAAAAUGCACCGGCAAAGGCCGUGAAGUCAAUCGUUGUGUCCUUAGCCUGCUGUACAAAAGAGAUGGAUGCUUAUGCUGGAUGCAUGUACUACAACACAAAUGAAUUCAAUAUGUGUCGAAAAGAACAAAAGGAAUUCGAAGAGGCAUGUCCUUGUUGACUGGUCCCCACAAAGGUUAUGUGCCCGGAUCUUUGUGAUACUCUCUCUUCUCUCCUUGUCCGAGACUUUCUGUGAAAAUUUGUGAGAUAGUUGUCUGUCAACUCAACGGAUCUUGUUCUACUUUAGUGACAACAUCAUUUGAGAUUUAUAUUUUUCUUUCAAAUCUAUUGUAAUAUAUUAGAGGUUUGUGCACGUGACAACCAGGUUUUGGGGUGUAUUUAAGUUGACUUUGUAUUCGGCUUUAAUACUGGUGUUAAACUUUCAUCCUUAUUUUUA
Molecule: long non-coding RNA, 611 nt
Organism: Solanum tuberosum (potato)
Lineage: Eukaryota; Viridiplantae; Streptophyta; Magnoliopsida; Solanales; Solanaceae
Exons: 3
Source: RefSeq, a predicted model, not a curated record